CCCCGGGAGGGGAGUGAAAGAGAACCUGAAACCAUAUGCCUACAAGAAGUCAGAGCCCGUUAAAGGGUGAUGGCGUGCCUUUUGUAGAAUGAACCGGCGAGUUACUGUAUGGAGCGAGGUUAAGCAGGAUAUGCGGAGCCGAAGCGAAAGCGAGUCUUAAGAGGGCGAGAGUUGCAUGCAGUAGACCCGAAACCGGGUGAUCUAGCCAUGACCAGGUUGAAGUUGGGGUAAAACCCGAUGGAGGACCGAACCGACCCCCGUUGAAACGUUGGCGGAUGAGUUGUGGCUAGGGGUGAAAUUCCAAUCGAACCCGGAGAUAGCUGGUUCUCCCCGAAAUAGCUUUAGGGCUAGCGUCGAGGUAAGUUGCGUGAAGGUAGAGCACUGAAUAUGUGAUGGCCCCAUCUCGGGGUACUGAGCAUAAUCAAACUGCGAAUGUCACGCCAACAUGCUCGGCAGUCAGACAGCGGGUGAUAAGGUCCGUUGUCAAGAGGGAAACAGCCCAGACCAUCAGCUAAGGUCCCAAAAUGUAUGCUAAGUGGAAAAGGAUGUGGAGAUGUACAGACAACUAGGAGGUUGGCUCAGAAGCAGCCAUCCUUUAAAGAGUGCGUAACAGCUCACUAGUCGAAUGACUCUGCGCCGAUAAUUUACCGGGGCUAAGCAUACUACCGAAGCUAUGGAUCCCAAGGGAUGGUAGGGGAGCGUUCCAUGAACGGAGAAGUACGACCGAAAGGACGUGUGGAGAUCAUGGAAGAGAGAAUGCCGGUGUGAGUAGCGGAACGUGGGUGAGAAUCCCACGCACCGAAAACCCAAGGUUUCCAGAGGAAGGUUCGUCCGCUCUGGGUAAGUCGGGACCUAAGGCGAGGCCGAAAGGCGUAGUCGAUGGACAACAGGUAGAGAUUCCUGUACCCGUAUAUAUGUGAAGGAAUGACGGAGAGAGGAAGCUGCAGCCAGCGGCUGGAAGAGCUGGUGCAAGCGAGAUAUCGGGAUGGCAGGCAAAUCCACCAUCCGAAACGAGAAGGCGUGAAGCGUACGGAAAGCUACGGCGAGUACGGAAGGCAGUGGAGGAACUUCCAAGAAAAGUUUCUAACGUUAAGUAUAUAUGGCCCGUACCGAAAAUGGACACACAUGGGUGAGGAGAGAAUCCUAAGGUGAGCGAGAGAACUAUAGCUAAGGAACUCUGCAAAAUGACUCCGUAACUUAGGGAGAAGGAGUGCUCAUAGAGAUAUGAGCCGCAGUGAAACGGCCCAAGCGACUGUUUACCAAAAACACAGCUCUCUGCUAAGCCGCAAGGCGAAGUAUAGGGGGUGACGCCUGCCCGGUGCUGGAAGGUUAAGGGGAGGGGUUAACGCAAGUGAAGCCCUGAACUGAAGCCCCAGUAAACGGCGGCCGUAACUAUAACGGUCCUAAGGUAGCGAAAUUCCUUGUCAGGUAAGUUCUGACCCGCACGAAAGGCGUAACGAUUUGGGCGCUGUCUCAGCUGUAGACUCGGUGAAGUCUUAGUACCUGUGAAGAUGCAGGUUACCCGCGACUAGACGGAAAGACCCCAUGGAGCUUCACUGCAGGUUGAUAUUGGGAUUUGAUGCAGCAUGUACAGGAUAGGUAGGAGGCAAAGAGAUGGAUACGCCAGUAUUCAAGGAGCCGCUGUUGGGAUACUACCCCUGUUGUAUUGGAUUUCUAACCGGACGACGUAGAGCCGUUGACGGGACAGUGUCAGUCGGGCAGUUUGACUGGGGCGGUCGCCUCCCAAAGAGUAACGGAGGCGCCCAAAGAUACCCUCAGCUUGGAUGGAAACCAAGCGCAGAGUGCAAAGGCAAAAGGGUGUUUGACUGCGAGACCCACAAGUCGAGCAGGGACGAAAGUCGGGCUUAGUGAUC
RNAcentral lists this ribosomal RNA (1874 nucleotides) under human gut metagenome. RNAcentral describes it as "bacterial LSU rRNA". It matches the Rfam family "Bacterial large subunit ribosomal RNA", at positions 524 to 2420 of the family's 2925-position model. The record is from RNAcentral.